GAUGAACGCUGGCGGCGUGCCUAAUACAUGCAAGUCGAGCGAACGGACGAGAAGCUUGCUUCUCUGAUGUUAGCGGCGGACGGGUGAGUAACACGUGGAUAACCUACCUAUAAGACUGGGAUAACUUCGGGAAACCGGAGCUAAUACCGGAUGAUAUUUUUAACCGCAUGGUUCAAAAGUGAAAGACGGUCUUGCUGUCACUUAUAGAUGUAUCCGCGCUGCAUUAGCUAGUUGGUAAGGUAACGGCUUACCAAGGCAACGAUGCAUAGCCGACCUGAGAGGGUGAUCGGCCACACUGGAACUGAGACACGGUCCAGACUCCUACGGGAGGCAGCAGUAGGGAAUCUUCCGCAAUGGGCGAAAGCCUGACGGAGCAACGCCGCGUGAGUGAUGAAGGUCUUCGGAUCGUAAAACUCUGUUAUUAGGGAAGAACAUAUGUGUAAGUAACUGUGCACAACUUGACGGUACCUAAUCAGAAAGCCACGGCUAACUACGUG
RNAcentral lists this ribosomal RNA (497 nucleotides) under uncultured bacterium. Its description in RNAcentral is "partial 16S ribosomal RNA". It matches the Rfam family "Bacterial small subunit ribosomal RNA", at positions 28 to 507 of the family's 1533-position model. The record is from RNAcentral.